AAGAAUAGAGCUGCCUUCUGUCUUUCAGUCCUGCUUUCUGUUGCAGUAAAAAUUCAAUUUAAAAUUACCUGUAGAUGUGACCAGCUACACAGCUGAACUUUGAAACAUUAAAACUUUGCAUUAAAAGCAUUUUGUUAACAUAGGUCCGAUACUGUGCCAUCUUCAUAAAUGGCCUAAAGAACCUGGCAGAAAUCUUGUUUUGCUGAGCAGCUGACUUCUACCUUGUCAAUACAGAGUACACUUAAGUAGAGCUUUCAGACUAAUUCUCUAUGCGUUUCUCACUCAAGGUUACAAGCAAGACUUGAACUCUCAGGCUCUGAAGUCGAAAGAUGGGAUUCUUCUAUACCAGAUCUUUUGAGGAGCCCAACUGCAGCCUUUGUGUCAGACUGCCUAUGCUGUGGUACAAAACGACGUUAUUCCCAGGGGCUGGUCUUGCUGAAGUUAAAUAUGUGCCUUCCUUUAUCAAACUGCUCUCUGCAAUUUCUGCACAUUUCACAAGGGGAUUGAUACUGGUGAGUAAAAUUUACAACCAGAAACCUCAGCCCCUUUAGAAAACCAAAGAGGAGUUGGAAGAAAUUGUGUGUGUUUCAAAAACUAAUGUUUAGGUGUUCUGACAUGCAAGUGUAACCAGUGGUAAUGUCAAUGACUUUUUUUUUAAUAAACUCUUUGCAGCUGAAAAAUGUGAUCACUCCAACAAAACAAACAGCUUAACCUGCAGAAAUGAAGUGCCGGCAGCUGGCAGUUUGGCUGUUUAAUAAACUCCUUCUGCUAUCA
Molecule: long non-coding RNA, 774 nt
Organism: Pseudopipra pipra
Lineage: Eukaryota; Metazoa; Chordata; Aves; Passeriformes; Pipridae
Exons: 2
Source: RefSeq, a predicted model, not a curated record